RNAcentral lists this ribosomal RNA (362 nucleotides) under uncultured bacterium. RNAcentral describes it as "partial 16S ribosomal RNA". It matches the Rfam family "Bacterial small subunit ribosomal RNA", at positions 355 to 709 of the family's 1533-position model. The record is from RNAcentral.
UGGGGAAUAUUGCACAAUGGGCGCAAGCCUGAUGCAGCCAUGCCGCGUGUGUGAAGAAGGCCUUCGGGUUGUAAAGCACUUUCAGCGAGGAGGAAGGGUAGUGUGUUAAUAGCACAUUGCAUUGACGUUACUCGCAGAAGAAGCACCGGCUAACUCCGUGCCAGCAGCCGCGGUAAUACGGAGGGUGCAAGCGUUAAUCGGAAUUACUGGGCGUAAAGCGCACGCAGGCGGUUUGUUAAGUCAGAUGUGAAAUCCCCGCGCUUAACGUGGGAACUGCAUUUGAAACUGGCAAGCUAGAGUCUUGUAGAGGGGGGUAGAAUUCCAGGUGUAGCGGUGAAAUGCGUAGAGAUCUGGAGGAAUAC